AAAGGAAGCAUGAAGCAGAACAUCAGGAUGAUGGCUGAUUCAUAAAAGAAGGGGACGACUCAGGAAGAGUCAGGACGGCAUCGGAUUAUGCCAGGAUGUUUCAGGAUGAAACCAGGGACACCUCCAGGACGGAGAAGAGAGCUCACAAAGGAAGCUGAGCGGGUCACAGAUGACCAAGGGAUUUGAGUCAGGAUGAUUUAGGAUAGCCCGUCAGGAUGAAAGUUGGACGAUGCGAAGGACAGCCGGUUAGGAUAACCGCAGGAAAAGUUUUCAGGGAUUGAGCAGGGAGCACUGAGGUAGCUGGAUUGCUAUAAAACGAACCGGGGGCACUGUGAAAACAGUGCCCCCAACUUUUUAU
Molecule: non-coding RNA, 358 nt
Filed under: Rahnella aquatilis CIP 78.65 = ATCC 33071
Lineage: Bacteria; Pseudomonadati; Pseudomonadota; Gammaproteobacteria; Enterobacterales; Yersiniaceae
Source: RNAcentral